CCUACGGGCGGCAGCAGUAGGGAAUAUUGCGCAAUGGGGGAAACCCUGACGCAGCAACGCCGCGUGGAGGAUGACACUUUUCGGAGCGUAAACUCCUUUUGUUAGGGAAGAAUAAUGACGGUACCUAACGAAUAAGCACCGGCUAACUCCGUGCCAGCAGCCGCGGUAAUACGGAGGGUGCAAGCGUUACUCGGAAUCACUGGGCGUAAAGGACGCGUAGGCGGAUUAUCAAGUCUCUUGUGAAAUCUAACGGCUCAACCGUUAAACUGCUUGGGAAACUGAUAAUCUAGAGUAAGGGAGAGGCAGAUGGAAUUCUUGGUGUAGGGGUAAAAUCCGUAGAUAUCAAGAAGAAUACCUAUUGCGAAGGCGAUCUGCUGGAACUUAACUGACGCUAAUGCGUGAAAGCGUGGGGAGCAAACAGGAUUAGAUACCCUAGUAGUC
Molecule: ribosomal RNA, 441 nt
Filed under: Klebsiella pneumoniae
Lineage: Bacteria; Pseudomonadati; Pseudomonadota; Gammaproteobacteria; Enterobacterales; Enterobacteriaceae
Description: bacterial SSU rRNA
Rfam family: Bacterial small subunit ribosomal RNA
Source: RNAcentral